RNAcentral lists this ribosomal RNA (460 nucleotides) under uncultured bacterium. RNAcentral's name for it is "bacterial SSU rRNA". It matches the Rfam family "Bacterial small subunit ribosomal RNA", at positions 339 to 796 of the family's 1533-position model. The record is from RNAcentral.
UUACGGAAGGCGGCAGUAAGGAAUAUUGGACAAUGGUGGCAACACUGAUCCAGCCAUGCCGCGUGCAGGAUGACGGCCCUAUGGGUUGUAAACUGCUUUUGUACGGGAAAAAACCCUCGUUCGUGAACGAGGCUGAUGGUACCGUAAGAAUAAGGAUCGGCUAACUCCGUGCCAGCAGCCGCGGUAAUACGGAGGAUCCAAGCGUUAUCCGGAUUUAUUGGGUUUAAAGGGUGCGUAGGCGGAUUAAUAAGUCAGUGGUGAAAGCCUACAGCUUAACUGUAGAAUUGCCAUUGAUACUGUUAGUCUUGAGUAUAUUUGAAGUGGGCGGAAUGUGCAGUGUAGCGGUGAAAUGCUUAGAUAUUGCACAGAACACCGAUUGCGAAGGCAGCUCACUAAACUAUAACUGACGCUGAGGCACGAAAGUAUGGGGAUCAAACAGGAUUAGAAACUCUAGUAGUCC